Molecule: long non-coding RNA, 917 nt
Filed under: Olea europaea (common olive)
Lineage: Eukaryota; Viridiplantae; Streptophyta; Magnoliopsida; Lamiales; Oleaceae
Description: long non-coding RNA (OEUR_LNC004531)
Source: RNAcentral
AGCAAGGUAAUGUUUCACUUUAUAUAAAUGACUCAUUUUCAUUAUAAGGCUCAUGUAUAUUCUCUUGUUGGCAGUUGAUUUGAUCGUCAAAAUACUAAAAGUCGUCUGUCCUUUUUUUGUUUUUUUAGUAACUGUGAUCUUCGUGUCUGCAUUCGAGUAUGCAGGUAUCAUAUAGGUAGAUAGGAACAUCGUAGUGACAAUAAAAUCGUUUAGAUUUUGAAACAACAACUAAAAACAAAGAUAUUUGUGUUCUCUGGACAUGAAAGAUUUACCUUUUAAUUGGCAGAAGGAAGGAAUCUAGUCACUUGUACUAACACUGCACAGAACCACAUGGGUGGACGACGCUGCCAGAAAAAUAGGUUUGCUAACCGAUGGGGAUGAGUUCAGCUAGCUUGACAUUUAAUAUUUUGGGCAUUACUCUCGAAGCUGUGUGAGUGGACUUCUAUAUUUGGAAACUUGUUAGCCAGACCUAUUAUCUUCAUGGACAUUGUGAUUUAGUUGAUGAUCACAUCAACUUUUGCAAAUUUUCGUGGCCUUGUGAUGGUUAGAGGUGAAGUCGACAUCAAAGAAUACUUGUGGCUAUCAAAGACCCUGUUUAUAUCAUGGUCAGCCAUGGUGAAUUUUGGUGGUUAGCCGAUUACUAUAGUGGUCGACCUUGGUAGUUGUUAUGACCACGAUGUUAAUCGUGGUCAAUCAUGACAAUAUCAUGGUUAGUCUUUGCCUUGGAGAAUUUAAUCUGGUGAUUGAAGUGAUUUGAUUAAUAACAUAGUUUUCUUUAAGGAACUAUAUCGUUGUUUUGACUUGCUUAAUAUCAUUGUCGUACUUGAAAAGUAUUAUUGGUCAUUAAGUGACAUGGUAGAUAUCGUGUUCAAUCUUGACAAGUUUUGGCAGUUGCAGUGAUUCGAUUAAUAUCGUGG